This 477-nucleotide ribosomal RNA is filed under the name uncultured bacterium. Its description in RNAcentral is "partial 16S ribosomal RNA". It matches the Rfam family "Bacterial small subunit ribosomal RNA", at positions 28 to 507 of the family's 1533-position model. The record is from RNAcentral.
GAUUAACGCUGGCGGCGUGCAUAACACAUGCAAGUCGAACGAUGAAACUUAAAUGAUUUCUUCGGAAUGAACUUAAGUGGAUUAGUGGCGGACGGGUGAGUAGCGCGUGAGUAACCUGCCUUACACAAGGGGAUAGCCGUUGGAAACGACGAAUAAUACCCUAUGAAACUAUCACUUCGCAUGAAGCGAUAGUCAAAGUGUUAGCGGUGUAAGAUGGACUUGCGUCUGAUUAGCUAGUUGGUGAGAAAAAAGCCCACCAAGGCAACGAUCAGUAGCCGGCUUGAGAGAGUGUACGGCCACAUUGGGACUGAGACACGGCCCAGACUCCUACGGGAGGCAGCAGUGGGGAAUUUUGCACAAUGGGGGAAACCCUGAUGCAGCGACGCCGCGUGAUUUAGAAGGCCUUCGGGUUGUAAAAAUCUUUUGUAUAGGAAGAAAAUGACAGUACUAUACGAAUAAGGGCCGGCUAAUUACGUG